GAUGAACGCUAGCGGCAGGCCUAACACAUGCAAGUCGAGGGAGAAGCCCUUUCGGGGGCAGAAACCGGCGCACGGGUGCGUAACGCGUAUGCAACCUGCCUUUCACAGGGGGAUAGCCCGAAGAAAUUUGGAUUAAUACCCCAUAAUAUUAUUGGAUGGCAUCAUUCGAUAAUUAAAACUGCGGUGGUGAAAGAUGGGCAUGCGUCCUAUUAGCUAGUUGGAGUGGUAACGGCACCCCAAGGCUACGAUAGGUAGGGGUCCUGAGAGGGAGAUCCCCCACACUGGUACUGAGACAGGGACCAGACUCCUACGGGAGGCAGCAGUGAGGAAUAUUGGUCAAUGGUCGGAAGACUGAACCAGCCAUGCCGCGUGCAGGAAGAAUGCCUUAUGGGUUGUAAACUGCUUUUAUAUGGGAAGAAUAAGGCGUACGUGUACGUUGAUGACGGUACCAUAUGAAUAAGCAUCGGCUAACUCCGUG
RNAcentral lists this ribosomal RNA (478 nucleotides) under uncultured bacterium. Its description in RNAcentral is "partial 16S ribosomal RNA". It matches the Rfam family "Bacterial small subunit ribosomal RNA", at positions 28 to 507 of the family's 1533-position model. The record is from RNAcentral.